AUUGAACGCUGGCGGCAGGCCUAACACAUGCAAGUCGAACGGCAGCACGGGAGCAAUCCUGGUGGCGAGUGGCGAACGGGUGAGUAAUACAUCGGAACGUGCCCAAUCGUGGGGGAUAACGCAGCGAAAGCUGUGCUAAUACCGCAUAAGAUCUACGGAUGAAAGCAGGGGAUCGCAAGACCUUGCGCGAAUGGAGCGGCCGAUGGCAGAUUAGGUAGUUGGUGAGGUAAAGGCUCACCAAGCCUUCGAUCUGUAGCUGGUCUGAGAGGACGACCAGCCACACUGGGACUGAGACACGGCCCAGACUCCUACGGGAGGCAGCAGUGGGGAAUUCUGGACAAUGGGCGAAAGCCUGAUCCAGCCAUGCCGCGUGCAGGAUGAAGGCCUUCGGGUUGUAAACUGCUUUUGUACGGAACGAAAAGUCUCUUUCUAAUAAAGAGGGAUCAUGACGGUACCGUAAGAAUAAGCACCGGCUAACUACGUGCCAGCCGACGCGGUAA
This 500-nucleotide ribosomal RNA is filed under the name uncultured Burkholderiales bacterium. RNAcentral's name for it is "bacterial SSU rRNA". It matches the Rfam family "Bacterial small subunit ribosomal RNA", at positions 30 to 523 of the family's 1533-position model. Lineage: Bacteria; Pseudomonadati; Pseudomonadota; Betaproteobacteria; Burkholderiales. The record is from RNAcentral.